UACAGAGGUCCCAAGCGUUGUUCGGAUUCACUGGGCGUAAAGGGUGCGUAGGUGGUUAGGUAAGUCCGGUGUGAAAUCUCCAGGCUCAACCUGGAGUCGCCAUCCGAUACUGCCAUGGCUAGAGUCCGGUAGGGGCCCACGGAAUUCCUGGUGUAGCGGUGAAAUGCGCAGAUAUCAGGAGGAACACCGAUGGCGAAGGCAGUGGGCUGGGCCGGCACUGACGCUGAGGAGCGAAAGCGUGGGGAGCGAACAGG
This 254-nucleotide ribosomal RNA is filed under the name uncultured bacterium. RNAcentral describes it as "partial 16S ribosomal RNA". It matches the Rfam family "Bacterial small subunit ribosomal RNA", at positions 524 to 776 of the family's 1533-position model. The record is from RNAcentral.